Molecule: ribosomal RNA, 430 nt
Filed under: uncultured bacterium
Lineage: Bacteria
Description: bacterial SSU rRNA
Rfam family: Bacterial small subunit ribosomal RNA
Source: RNAcentral
GGGCCCGCACAAGCGGUGGAGCAUGUGGUUUAAUUCGAUGAUACGCGAGGAACCUUACCAGGGCUUAAAUGUAGUGGGACAGGUCUAGAGAUAGACCCUUCUUCGGACUCAUUACAAGGUGCUGCAUGGUUGUCGUCAGCUCGUGCCGUGAGGUGUCAGGUUAAGUCCUAUAACGAGCGCAACCCCUAUCGUUAGUUGCCAGCGGGUAAUGCCGGGAACUCUAGCGAAACUGCCGGUGCAAACCGUGAGGAAGGUGGGGAUGACGUCAAAUCAUCACGGCCCUUACGUCCUGGGCUACACACGUGCUACAAUGGUCGGUACAGAGAGCAGCCACUACGCGAGUAGGAGCGAAUCUUCAAAACCGAUCUCAGUUCGGAUCGCAGUCUGCAACUCGACUGCGUGAAGCUGGAAUCGCUAGUAAUCGGAUAUC